AUUGAACGCUGGCGGCAGGCCUAACACAUGCAAGUCGAGCGGAGCGGCGGACGGGUGAGUAAUGCCUAGGAAUCUGCCUGGUAGUGGGGGAUAACGUCCGGAAACGGGCGCUAAUAACGCAUACUAUCAGUUCAGCUUCGGUCUGAUUAGAUAGUUGGGGGGUUAAAGGCCUACCAAGUCGAUGAUCCGUAACUGGUCUGAGAGGAUGAUCAGUCACACUGGAACUGAGACACGGUCCAGACUCCUACGGGAGGCAGCAGUGGGGAAUAUUGGACAAUGGGCGAAAGCCUGAUCCAGCCAGGCCGCGUGUGGGAAGAAGGUCUUCGGAUUGUAAAACACGUUAAGUUGGGAGGCGUUACCAACAGAAAAAGCACCGGCUAACUUCGUGCCAGCAGCCGCGGUAAUAC
RNAcentral lists this ribosomal RNA (407 nucleotides) under uncultured bacterium. RNAcentral describes it as "partial 16S ribosomal RNA". It matches the Rfam family "Bacterial small subunit ribosomal RNA", at positions 30 to 526 of the family's 1533-position model. The record is from RNAcentral.